This 236-nucleotide ribosomal RNA is filed under the name bacterium. RNAcentral describes it as "partial 16S ribosomal RNA". It matches the Rfam family "Bacterial small subunit ribosomal RNA", at positions 551 to 786 of the family's 1533-position model. The record is from RNAcentral.
UUACUGGGCGUAAAGCGCGCGUAGGUGGCCAUUUAAGUCAAAUGUGAAAUCCCCGAGCUUAACUUGGGAAUUGCAUUCGAUACUGGGUGGCUAGAGUAUAGGAGAGGAAGGUAGAAUUCCAGGUGUAGCGGUGAAAUGCGUAGAGAUCUGGAGGAAUACCGAUGGCGAAGGCAGCCUUCUGGCCUAAUACUGACACUGAGGUGCGAAAGCAUGGGGAGCAAACAGGAUUAGAAACC